Molecule: RNA transcript, 3044 nt
Organism: Glycine soja
Lineage: Eukaryota; Viridiplantae; Streptophyta; Magnoliopsida; Fabales; Fabaceae
Gene name: type I inositol polyphosphate 5-phosphatase 4-like
Exons: 13
Source: RefSeq, a predicted model, not a curated record
ACAAUAUAUAAGCAACCAUAGUUGAUAGUUAGAGGUUGUGUGUGUGAGCUUAGGUGGGUGAGGUAGGCCUUGGAUAGUUGGAUUUGCUGUAAGUAAAAGGCCUCGAGGGAGAGCCAAACAAACUUGCCUCUCUUCAAAUUCGCUGUUUUCCUCUCUGUUACCUCAACGAGGUUUCUCCACUCUCUCUCUCUCUCUACAUGUUUCUACCUUGUCUUCUUUUUCUUCCUCGGUACUUCACCCUCUCUACCCUCAUAACCUUAAACUUCACAACUGGGGCAGCACUUAAUCCUUUCUUACUUCUGCAUAUUCUUCAGCCUCGUCACAUUGCUUUCAUCACCUAAGCCAUUUUUCCCUCCUUUUUUUCAUCUGUUUGAAUGGAGAGACAUAUAAACCAAAACAUGAAACUCAACAGAAAUUAAGGUUGUCCUGUUCUGAGACAGAAAAUUGUCUUCUAACUUAACACUCAGUCCUCACACAGUUCGUUCAUGAAAGUAAGUACUAAGGAGCUUUGAUUGAAAGAAGGAACAAUAGACAGUGUGACAUCAAUUCAGAACCUUUGUAUCCGUGAAUAGAGAAAGCUUCAUGAAGUUGUGAGCUUUGUCCCAACAAUGAGAGAUGAGAACUCGAAGAAGAGCAAGCUUUCUUGGUCAAAAUCAUUGGUCAAGAAGUGGUUCAAUAUCAAGAACAAAGCUGAGGAUUUUCACUCAGAUGAGGUUCUCUCCCAAGGUGUUGAUGAAGAGUGUAGCAGCAACUAUUCAGAAAGGGAGGCAUGCACCAUCAGGAAAAGCAAAUCAGAGAGAUCAAGCAGAUGGUACUCAGACAGAAUGCGAAGAGGAAGAGGUAAGAAUGACCUUGAUGAAGCUCAGGUUACAGAUGUGUAUAACUAUAGAAUCUUUGCUGCCACUUGGAAUGUAGCAGGGAAGUCACCUCCAUGUUAUUUGAGUCUUGAAGACUGGCUUCACACAUCUCCACCUGCUGAUAUCUAUGUUCUUGGGUUUCAAGAAAUUGUACCUCUUAAUGCGGGUAAUGUUUUGGGAACAGAAGACAAUGGUCCUGCAAGAAAAUGGCUAGCCCUUAUUAGGAGGACCCUGAACAGCCUUCCUGGAACAAAUGGCGGAUGCCACACUCCUUCGCCCCUCCCUAAUCCUAUUGUAGAGCUAGAUGCCGAUUUUGAGGGAUCAAUGAGGCAGAAGGCAACUUCUUUCUUUCAACGAAGAUCCUUCCAAUCCUUGAGUCGUAGUAUGAGAAUCGAUAAUGAUAUGCUAAUGCCCCAAGCCUGCCUUGAUCGCCGUCUCAGUGUCUGUGAUAGAGUGAUGUUUGGUCACAGAACGAGCGACUAUGAUCCCAAUUAUCGAUGGGGUUCCUCAGAUGAAGAAAAUGGCACUGGUGACUCCCCAAUUACAGCACAAUAUUCACCAAUGUCAUAUGGCGGUUGUUUCUCUACAGAAGACAGUGAUAGACACACAGGACACUCAAGAUAUUGCUUGGUUGCUAGUAAGCAAAUGGUUGGGGUAUUUCUAACUGUUUGGGUGAAGAGUGAUAUAAGAGAUGAUGUUCACAACAUGAAAGUGUCUUGUGUUGGCAGAGGCUUGAUGGGAUAUCUUGGAAACAAGGGAUCAAUAUCAAUUAGUAUGUCAUUGCACCAAACAAGCUUUUGCUUCAUUUGUAGUCAUUUGACUUCUGGACAAAAGGAUGGUGACGAGUUACGGAGAAAUUCAGAUGUAAUGGAGAUUCUCAGAAAGACAAGGUUUCCCCCUGUCCUAGACAUCGGUGGUGAGUAUUCUCCUCAGACAAUUCUGGAACAUGACCGAAUAAUUUGGCUGGGGGAUUUAAAUUAUCGGAUAGCCAUUUCUUACCGUGCAGCAAAAGCUCUUGUUGAGAUGCAUGAUUGGAAGACUUUGUUAGAGAAUGACCAGUUGUGUAUAGAGCAGAGGCAAGGUCGAGUCUUUGAAGGAUGGAAUGAAGGGAAAAUAUAUUUCCCUCCCACUUAUAAGUAUUCAAACAAUUCAGACAGAUAUGCAGGUGAUGACAGACACUCAAAACAAAAGAGAAGAACUCCAGCAUGGUGUGAUCGUAUCUUGUGGUAUGGAAGGGGCCUUCACCAAUUAUCAUACGUUCGUGGGGAGUCAAGAUUUUCUGAUCAUCGGCCAGUGUAUAGCAUGUUCUUGGCAGAGGUUGAGUCUGUUAGCUGUAACCAAAUAAAGAAAAGCUCCAGUUCCAGGAUUGAAGUAGAAGAGUUGUUUCCACAUUCACAUGGUUACGGCUACACUGAUUUGAACUACUUUUGAUGAAUGCCUAAUUGUCUAUAAUUCUUAUUCCAUGAGAUCAACUAGGCUAUUUGAGGGAACUGAAACAGUUUAGUGUAUAACACAAGUAAUGGAUUUGACCAUGUCGUUCUUCCUAAUAAAGUUUCUAGUUGAAAUGUCAUGCAAGCCUUAUCCUAUACUUGACUUGGGGCCCCUCCUCUUUUAGGUAGGCAAUACAGUGAGUGAGCAAUUGCCAGCCACAAUGAUGAUCGAGACAUUCUGUUAUCCUCACUUUCAAACAAGCUGCAGAGUUUGUGGUCUUGCACUAUGGAUAUUUGCGGCUCACAGCCUUAUUGGUAGAAUAAUGGCUAUGUGGAUCAAAGAAAAUAUACAGCAUUUAUUCUCAAUUCUCAUGAAUGAGAGGAUUUGAAGAUUCUAACCAAGGUGUUUGACUUAUUCUUUAACACAAUUGAGAUAAACCAAGGGAAUAUUUGUACCCCGUGUUAAUUAUCUUAUUCGUUUAUCUUGAGUUCUUAACCACCCUAUUAUUUUCUUAUAGCAGCCAACUUUGAUGAGAAUCAUUGCAGCUAAUGAGUGAAAUUUAUGUUGUUGUUUUCAAUUUUGUUUUUAUGAAUAAGUUGCAACAAAAAGGAAAAAAGGAACCACGCUACUUAAACUGCUUUGUUGGCUUUUACCAGUAAGUCAUUAUUUGUACCUGAUGCCUAAACUUCUUUUUCCUUUUGUUUCAUUCUGAUUCGAGCACGUCUCAUUGAGCAACAUUUAUUCAGUUUCAGUCAA